RNAcentral lists this ribosomal RNA (789 nucleotides) under uncultured bacterium. Its description in RNAcentral is "bacterial SSU rRNA". It matches the Rfam family "Bacterial small subunit ribosomal RNA", at positions 8 to 796 of the family's 1533-position model. The record is from RNAcentral.
AGAGUUUGAUCCUGGCUCAGAUUGAACGCUGGCGGCAUGCCUAACACAUGCAAGUCGCACGCGAAAGGGGGCAACCCCGAGUAGAGUGGCGGACGGGUGCGUAAUACGCAGGAAUCUACCCACGAGUGGGGGACAACCCGGGGAAACCCGGGCUAAUACCGCAUGAGACCUACGGGUGAAAGCGGGGGAUCGCAAGACCUCGCGCUGGUGGAUGAGCCUGCGUCCGAUUGGCUAGUUGGUAGGGUAAAAGCCUACCAAGGCAACGAUCGGUAGCUGGUCUGAGAGGACGACCAGCCACACUGGGACUGAGACACGGCCCAGACUCCUACGGGAGGCAGCAGUGGGGAAUAUUGGACAAUGGGGGCAACCCUGAUCCAGCAAUGCCGCGUGUGUGAAGAAGGCCUUCGGGUUGUAAAGCACUUUCGAUGGGGACAAACGUGUCGGGCUUAAUACGUCCGGCCUUGAUGGUACCCAGAGAAGAAGCACCGGCUAACUCUGUGCCAGCAGCCGCGGUAAUGCAGAGGGUGCAAGCGUUAAUCGGAAUUACUGGGCGUAAAGCGUGCGUAGGUGGUUGGAUAAGUCAGGUGUGAAAUCCCCGAGCUUAACUUGGGAAUUGCGCUUGAUACUGUCCGGCUAGAGUGUGGUAGAGGGUAGUGGAAUUCCGCAUGUAGCGGUGAAAUGCGUAGAUAUGCGGAGGAACAUCAGUGGCGAAGGCGGCUACCUGGACCAACACUGACACUGAGGCACGAAAGCGUGGGUAGCAAACAGGAUUAGAUACCCUGGUAGUCG